RNAcentral lists this ribosomal RNA (491 nucleotides) under uncultured bacterium. RNAcentral's name for it is "partial 16S ribosomal RNA". It matches the Rfam family "Bacterial small subunit ribosomal RNA", at positions 29 to 506 of the family's 1533-position model. The record is from RNAcentral.
AGUGAACGCUGGCGGUAGGCCUAACACAUGCAAGUCGAACGGCAGCACAGUAAGAGCUUGCUCUUACGGGUGGCGAGUGGCGGACGGGUGAGGAAUACAUCGGAAUCUACUUUUUCGUGGGGGAUAACGUAGGGAAACUUACGCUAAUACCGCAUACGACCUACGGGUGAAAGCAGGGGAUCUUCGGACCUUGCGCGAGUGAAUGAGCCGAUGUCGGAUUAGCUAGUUGGCGGGGUAAAGGCCCACCAAGGCGACGAUCCGUAGCUGGUCUGAGAGGAUGAUCAGCCACACUGGACCUGAGACCCGGUCCAGCCUCCUACGGGAGGCAGCAGUGGGAAAUAUUGGCCAAUGGGCGCAAGCCUGAUCCAGCCAUACCGCGUGGGUGAAGAAGGCCUUCGGGUUGUAAAGCCCUUUUGUUGGGAAAGAAAAGCAGCAGGUUAAUACCCCGCUGUUCUGACGGUACCCAAAGAAUAAGCACCGGCUAACUUCGU